Molecule: ribosomal RNA, 307 nt
Filed under: uncultured eukaryote
Lineage: Eukaryota
Description: partial 18S ribosomal RNA
Rfam family: Eukaryotic small subunit ribosomal RNA
Source: RNAcentral
CCCUUAGACGUUCUGGGCCGCACGCGCGCUACACUGACGAAGGCAACGAGCUUUCCUUUACCGAAAGGUACGGGUAAUCUUUUGAAACUUCGUCGUGCUGGGGAUAGAUCCUUGCAAUUUUUGAUCUUAAACGAGGAAUGCCUAGUAAGCGCAAGUCAUCAACUUGCGUUGAUUACGUCCCUGCCCUUUGUACACACCGCCCGUCGCUACUACCGAUUGAAUGGUUUAGUGAGGCCUUCGGAUCCGCGACUCGUUUGUGGGGAAGUUGGACAAACUCAGUCAUUUAGAGGAAGUAAAAGUCGUAACA